AGAGUUUGAUCAUGGCUCAGGACGAACGCUGGCGGCGUGCUUAACACAUGCAAGUGGCGCGACGAACCGGGCUUCGGCCCGGGGCAAAGCCGCGAACGGGUGAGUAACACGUGGGUAACCUGCCCCGAAGACCGGGACAACCCGGGGAAACCCGGGCUAAUACCGGAUGUGCUCACCACUCUCAAGGGUGGUGAACAAAGGAAACUUCGGCCUCCGCUUCGGGAGGGGCCCGCGGCCCAUUAGCUUGUUGGUGAGGUAACGGCUCACCAAGGCGACGAUGGGUAGCUGGUCUGAGAGGACGAUCAGCCACACUGGGACUGAGACACGGCCCAGACUCCUACGGGAGGCAGCAGUGGGGAAUCUUGCGCAAUGGGCGACAGCCUGACGCAGCAACGCCGCGUGGGGGAAGACGGCCUUCGGGUUGUAAACCCCUUUCAGGAGGGACGAAGCUUCGGCAGCGAAUAGCUGUCCGGAGUGACGGUACCUCACUAAGAAGCCCCGGCUAACUACGUGCCAGCAGCCGCGGUAAUACGUAGGGGGCCAGCGUUGUCCGGAAUCAUUGGGCGUAAAGCGCGCGUAGGCGGCCAGACAAGUCCGGUGUGAAAGUCACAGGCUCAACCUGUGAAUGCCGCUGGAAACUGUCUGGCUAGAGUCCGGAAGGGGCGAGUGGAAUUCCUGGUGUAGCGGUGAAAUGCGCAGAUAUCAGGAGGAACACCUAUGGCGAAGGCAGCUCGCUGGGACGGUACUGACGCUGAGGCGCGAAAGCGUGGGGAGCGAACAGGAUUAGAUACCCUGGUAGUCCACGCCGUAAACGAUGGGCACUAGGUGUGGGAGGUGUCGACUCCUCCUGUGCCGAAGCUAACGCAUUAAGUGCCCGCCUGGGGAGUACGGCGCAAGGCUAAACUCAAAGGAGUG
Molecule: ribosomal RNA, 915 nt
Filed under: uncultured bacterium
Lineage: Bacteria
Description: bacterial SSU rRNA
Rfam family: Bacterial small subunit ribosomal RNA
Source: RNAcentral